GACGAACGCUGGCGGCGUGCCUAAUACAUGCAAGUCGAGCGGACAGAAGGGAGCUUGCUCCCGGAUGUUAGCGGCGGACGGGUGAGUAACACGUGGGUAACCUGCCUGUAAGACUGGGAUAACUCCGGGAAACCGGAGCUAAUACCGGAUAGUUCCUUGAACCGCAUGGUUCAAGGAUGAAAGACGGUUUCGGCUGUCACUUACAGAUGGACCCGCGGCGCAUUAGCUAGUUGGUGGGGUAAUGGCUCACCAAGGCGACGAUGCGUAGCCGACCUGAGAGGGUGAUCGGCCACACUGGGACUGAGACACGGCCCAGACUCCUACGGGAGGCAGCAGUAGGGAAUCUUCCGCAAUGGACGAAAGUCUGACGGAGCAACGCCGCGUGAGUGAUGAAGGUUUUCGGAUCGUAAAGCUCUGUUGUUAGGGAAGAACAAGUGCGAGAGUAACUGCUCGCACCUGACGGUACCUACCAGAAAGCCACGGCAACGCGUGCCACAGCCCCGGUAA
Molecule: ribosomal RNA, 507 nt
Filed under: Bacillus pumilus
Lineage: Bacteria; Bacillati; Bacillota; Bacilli; Caryophanales; Bacillaceae
Description: bacterial SSU rRNA
Rfam family: Bacterial small subunit ribosomal RNA
Source: RNAcentral